UCUUUUCUUUUUUUCAUUAGCUGUUUAUAGUGCCACAUUUUUUUAUACUGUCCAAUUUGUUGUCUUGGUGUUUUUGAUGAUAUAUCAUUAUUAUGACUAUCAAGUCACUAAAAAUUAUAAGCUUUGUGUCUGCUGCUACAUCUUAUUGUUCUGGACAGACAACAACAUGCUGAUACUGAAGUUCAAAAGAAUCUGAAAGAGAAUCUUCAACAGCUUAAAAAUUGAGACGACAUAUGUUGACUCAUCUUUAAGUUCCUCAGAAGAUGCAUCUACAAGAUCUGGUUCUGCAGUGAUAGAGAGCUCUGAACAAGACUCUGGUGAUUCAAUAACUGCUGGAGCUAAUAACGUAUACACACCUUUUAAUCAAAGUGAUUACAUAUUUCUUGAUCUGGCCAGUGAAGCUUUAAACAUGGCAGAAAAUAUGAGAAAACAAUAGGCAUUGCUUCAUGCUUACAUUGUGCUGUGUGAAUGAGUAUUUGGAGAAAAAAGUGGUUCUUGGUCAGAGUUUUAAUCUUUAUGUGUGACAGUUAUAUAUCUUGUAUAUAAUAUCUAGUUUCCUCAAUUUCUUCAAAGUUGUUGUCUGUUAGUUUGAAGUUUAAAACUGAGUUUUAUGCCCUUGUGCAGACACAUGAUGGCCUACUUAUCCUACUUAUCUAGUAAAUUCCUAAUGCUCAAUCUAUAUGUUUAACUGUUUUUUUAGUGGGCAAACCAAAUGGCCAUUAGCAAUUGUCACUAUAUGCAAGAUGCAAUAUAUAAUCAUGUAUGAUCGGAUAGGUUUGUGGACAAAUGUUUGAUAUAAAUGCUAAAUUGAAAUUUAUAUA
Molecule: long non-coding RNA, 821 nt
Organism: Juglans microcarpa x Juglans regia
Lineage: Eukaryota; Viridiplantae; Streptophyta; Magnoliopsida; Fagales; Juglandaceae
Exons: 2
Source: RefSeq, a predicted model, not a curated record